AGCUCAGCAUUGGGUGUAAAGUGUGCGCAGGCGGUUUUGUAAGACAGAGGUGAAAUCCCCGGGCUCAACCUGGGAACUGCCUUUGUGACUGCAAGGCUGGAGUGCGGCAGAGGGGGAUGGAAUUCCGCGUGUAGCAGUGAAAUGCGUAGAUAUGCGGAGGAACACCGAUGGCGAAGGCAAUCCCCUGGGCCUGCACUGACGCUCAUACACGAAAGCGUGGGGAGCAAACA
RNAcentral lists this ribosomal RNA (230 nucleotides) under uncultured Alicycliphilus sp. RNAcentral describes it as "partial 16S ribosomal RNA". It matches the Rfam family "Bacterial small subunit ribosomal RNA", at positions 553 to 774 of the family's 1533-position model. The record is from RNAcentral. Lineage: Bacteria; Pseudomonadati; Pseudomonadota; Betaproteobacteria; Burkholderiales; Comamonadaceae.